UACGUAGGGUGCAAGCGUUGUCCGGAUUUAUUGGGUUUAAAGGGUGCGUAGGCGGUUUUAUAAGUCAGUGGUGAAAGGCAACAGCUCCACUGUUGAGGUGCCAAUGAUACUGUAGUACUUGAGGACAGGAGAGGUAUGCGGAAUUCACAUAGAAGCCGUCAAAUGCAUAGAUAUUGUCAAGAACACCGAUAGCGAAGGCAGCAUGCUAGCCUGAAACUGACGCUAAGGCACUAAUGUGUGGUUAUCAAUCAAA
RNAcentral lists this ribosomal RNA (253 nucleotides) under uncultured bacterium. RNAcentral describes it as "partial 16S ribosomal RNA". It matches the Rfam family "Bacterial small subunit ribosomal RNA", at positions 524 to 776 of the family's 1533-position model. The record is from RNAcentral.